Molecule: long non-coding RNA, 819 nt
Organism: Paralichthys olivaceus (Japanese flounder)
Lineage: Eukaryota; Metazoa; Chordata; Actinopteri; Pleuronectiformes; Paralichthyidae
Source: RefSeq, a predicted model, not a curated record
GUGGGACCAGGAAACCCAGCAGAAAGAUGUCGAUCAAAACAUCUCUAAUCCACCAAAGGCCAGAGUACGUGACCUCCUGUGUGACCCCGAGGGUUGACAUGAGUGACUGUCGAGCAGCAUGUCAAGAAAUCUGAAGCAGGAGAAACCAGCGCAUCAUCAUGAGGGAUCAUGUGCAACAACGGCUGUGGCUGACAGAUUUUGGGAUUCACCUCGUUUUCCGUUUGUCUCCAGUCUCCAGCCCUUUAUCUCCGCUGCUUGUUUUUGAGCGGUGGGAUGUCGGCACAUUUAGAGAAGAAAACAGGAACAUAAAAGAUUGUACUGAAAAUGUUUUCUGGGAUCAAGUCUAGCCAUCUGUUCUUAGCAGAAUCCUCCUAUCUCGUUCAGUUAAGUCUUUCUCGCUUCAUCUCUGUUUGACUCACUUGUUCUUCUCUCACUCCGUCUCCUCUUUCUCCUUUUUUCCCCAUCUUCUCUGCAGCCCGCUCCACCUCCCCUUGUGCCCCGGCAAGUGUCUAAUAUUUCCAAUGAUGAUUUAGCUCAUAAAUCUUGAUAAAGCCACUGGCUGUUCCGUUUUAGUGGAACAGGAAACUCUUGCAGGAGUAGGAGGAGACAGAAAAUGAGGAAUGGCUCUCGGUUAUGAGGUUGUCCUGUUUUUCUGUGUUUUCCAUUUUGAUGGCGUCCUCAGGGAGAGAGCAUCCCUGUGAAUUGAGAGCAACUUUUUUUAUACUGGAAUUGACUCAAGGGAUCUACAGAGGUUUUAUUUGUAAUCAUAUCUGUAUUUGUUCAGCCCCUCUAAUGUUUGCAUUGGUAUCUUUUUGUUUU